Molecule: long non-coding RNA, 979 nt
Organism: Ostrea edulis (European flat oyster)
Lineage: Eukaryota; Metazoa; Mollusca; Bivalvia; Ostreida; Ostreidae
Exons: 4
Source: RefSeq, a predicted model, not a curated record
UUCCCUUUGCCGGAAAUAAUUUUGCCUAUUUUGCUGCUGUUUCAGGUGAUGUGCCGCCCGGCUUCCCUUGACAACAGGUGCUCCUACAGCCUCGCACAACUGCAAAGUAGAAUUCCCAUGACCCUCAUUAAUACCAUGUACAACUCUAUGGAUUCUUGGUUCAAAGUUUCUACUAUAGGCCCCGGCACGCAAAAGAAUGCCUCUGGCACGGUUUACCACAGUCCCCUUUGUAGCAGGAUAUUAUCGCGUCGGCGGCAUACGACAUGGCCCUCACCAUUUUUUGCUGAUCGCCUCCAAAGUGUUGGUAACCAUUUUCAUAUUCCGUCCUGCAUCUCAAUUUCAAAUCUUGUGCAAAUCUUUUUUUCAUGGAUUCGCGAUCAACUUUGGUCCGGCCUAGAAACAUUGUAGCACUGAAUGCAGCUUUGCAUAUUUGUUUUCUUUGCGACUCGAAAAAAUGUCUCAAGUCUUUUAAAUUUUCAAUGGGCUUCCCCUGUUUUUCAACUGCACCCAGGGAUGCGGAACUGUCCCCAUCGGUUGUCAGGUAAGACACGGAUAAAGGACUGGAAUCGGUCCUCAUUUCAUCAAUACACUCACCGGCCCACUUCUUCUCAUCUCCGAUAUUUGUGUCGGCUGCAGUCUCCUGCAUGCUGCUGGCUGAAGCAGGAAGGACGUUGGCUGUCAGGAACAUUCCCCGCAUUCCCUCGGUCGUAAGGCUGGUGCCCAUUUGCCCCAGGGACAUUGCUACAUUAAGUUGGGCGGCUUUUCUACCCGGCCUAGUAGACUCUACUUCCUUGUACAACUUUUGGCGAGGACUCUGGUACCCACAGUUGGUGCAACGUAGACACAGAAUCCAGGCCAGGCCCCGUUUCUCCUGUUUUGUGUGGUCCCAGUCCAAAUGAGCAUCACAGCAUUUGAUCUUCGUAAAUGGUCACCCCCUGCUUUGAAGAGUGGACAAAUGUACACAACCCCAGGCAGAAUA